AUUGAACGCUGGCGGCAGGCCUAACACAUGCAAGUCGAACGAGUGGCGGACGGGUGAGUAAUGUCUGGGAAACUGCCCGAUGGAGGGGGAUAACUACUGGAAACGGUAGCUAAUACCGCAUACCAUCGGAUGUGCCCAGAUGGGAUUAGCUAGUAGGUGGGGUAACGGCUCACCUAGGCGACGAUCCCUAGCUGGUCUGAGAGGAGGACCAGCGACACUGGAACUGAGACACGGUCCAGAGUCCUACGGGAGGCAGCAGUGGGGAAUAUUGCACAAUGGGCGCAAGCCUGAUGCAGACAUGCCGGGGGUAUGAAGAAGGCCGUCGGGUUGUAAAGUACUUUAAGCCAUGACGCGGUAGUGGCAGAAGAAGCACCGGCUAACUACGUGCCAGCAGCCGCGGUAAUAC
Molecule: ribosomal RNA, 406 nt
Filed under: uncultured bacterium
Lineage: Bacteria
Description: partial 16S ribosomal RNA
Rfam family: Bacterial small subunit ribosomal RNA
Source: RNAcentral